This 364-nucleotide unclassified non-coding RNA is filed under the name fungal sp. RNAcentral's name for it is "partial internal transcribed spacer region". The stretch from base 1 to 46 matches the Rfam family "Eukaryotic small subunit ribosomal RNA", at positions 1786 to 1831 of the family's 1831-position model. The record is from RNAcentral. Lineage: Eukaryota; Fungi.
AAGUCGUAACAAGGUUUCCGUAGGUGAACCUGCGGAAGGAUCAUUACAAUACUUUUACAAGUAUCAACCCAAAUUGUUGCACUGAAUGAGCGUCCGAUAGGAAAUACAAAAGUGGUUUGAGAGAAUUGGCGGCUUUGUGAAGUGCAUCGGCAUUUCGGUCAGUUCUCGAUUUCUCGCAAGCAAUUGUGAGAAAGCCCUUUUUUUCCUAGUUCGCGUAUUUUCUCAAUUUUUUUUUUAACCCCUUUCACCAAAUACAAAUUAAACAACGAUUGAACUGAAUUCGAAGGAUGCUGAAAAGCGUCUAAUUCGAUUCUAUCUUUACGAAACGUAAGAACAACUCUUAACAACGGAUAUCUUGGCUCUC